GGAAUAUUGGUCAAUGGGCGAGAGCCUGAACCAGCCAAGUAGCGUGCAGGAUGACUGCCCUAUGGGUUGUAAACUGCUUUUAUCAGGGGAUAAAGUGACGUACGUGUACGUUAUUGCAGGUACCUGAUGAAUAAGGACCGGCUAAUUCCGUGCCAGCAGCCGCGGUAAUACGGAAGGUCCGGGCGUUAUCCGGAUUUAUUGGGUUUAAAGGGAGCGCAGGCGGAAGGUUAAGCGUGACGUGAAAUGUACCGGCUCAACCGGUGAUGUGCGUCGCGAACUGGCUUUCUUGAGUGAGUACGACGCUGGCGGAAUUCGUGGUGUAGCGGUGAAAUGCUUAGAUAUCACGAAGAACUCCGAUUGCGAAGGCAGCCGGCGAGUCCUCAACUGACGCUAAUGCUCGAAAGUGCGGGUAUCGAACA
Molecule: ribosomal RNA, 419 nt
Filed under: uncultured Prevotella sp.
Lineage: Bacteria; Pseudomonadati; Bacteroidota; Bacteroidia; Bacteroidales; Prevotellaceae
Description: bacterial SSU rRNA
Rfam family: Bacterial small subunit ribosomal RNA
Source: RNAcentral